RNAcentral lists this ribosomal RNA (336 nucleotides) under uncultured Acidobacteriota bacterium. RNAcentral describes it as "bacterial SSU rRNA". It matches the Rfam family "Bacterial small subunit ribosomal RNA", at positions 15 to 350 of the family's 1533-position model. Lineage: Bacteria; Pseudomonadati; Acidobacteriota. The record is from RNAcentral.
GAUCCUGGCUCAGAAUCAACGCUGGCGGCGUGCCUAACACAUGCAAGUCGAACGGGAAAGGGGAGCAAUCCCUGAGUAUAGUGGCGACCGGGUGAGUAACACGUGACUAACCUGCCCUUGAGUGGGGGAUAACCUCGGGAAACCGGGGCUAAUACCGCAUAACAUCUUCGGGAUGAGAAGCCGGAGAUCAAAGGAGCGAUUCGCUCGAGGAGGGGGUCGCGGCUGAUUAGCUAGUUGGCGGGGUAACGGCCCACCAAGGCUUUGAUCGGUAGCCGGCCUGAGAGGGCGCACGGCCACACUGGAACUGAAACACGGUCCAGACUCCUACGGGAGGCA